RNAcentral lists this ribosomal RNA (428 nucleotides) under uncultured prokaryote. RNAcentral's name for it is "bacterial SSU rRNA". It matches the Rfam family "Bacterial small subunit ribosomal RNA", at positions 355 to 774 of the family's 1533-position model. The record is from RNAcentral.
UGAGGAAUUUUGCGCAAUGGGAGCAAUCCUGACGCAGCAACGCCGCGUGGGUGAUGAAGGCCUUCGGGUCGUAAAGCCCUGUCAGGUGGGAAGAAUGUCCCGGAACUGAACAGGUUUCGGGAGUGACGGUACCACCAGAGGAAGCACCGGCUAACUCCGUGCCAGCAGCCGCGGUAAUACGGAGGGUGCAAGCGUUAUUCGGAAUUACUGGGCGUAAAGCGCGUGUAGGCGGUCCUGCAAGUCUGAGGUGAAAGCCCGGGGCUUAACCCGGGAAGUGCAUUGGAAACUGCAGGUCUUGAGUACUGGAGAGGAUGGGGGAAUUCCCGGUGUAGAGGUGAAAUUCGUAGAGAUCGGGAGGAAUAUCAGUGGCGAAGGCGCCCAUCUGGACGGUAACUGACGCUGAGACGCGAAAGCGUGGGGAGCAAACA